Non-coding RNA from Perognathus longimembris pacificus (Pacific pocket mouse), 420 nucleotides. NCBI's taxonomy places the organism in Eukaryota, Metazoa, Chordata, Mammalia, Rodentia, Heteromyidae. The record is from the annotation of a RefSeq genome assembly.
AUGAGGUGCCCUGCUCAGCUCCUGGGGCUGCUCAUGCUCUGGAUCCCUGGAACCAAUGGAGCAGUUCUGAUGACCCAGACUCCACUCUCCCUGCCUGUCACCCUGGGAGAGCCGGCCUCCAUCUCCUGCAGGUCUAGUCAGAGCCUCCUGCAUAGUAAUGGAAAAAACUAUUUGUACUGGUACCUGCAGAAGCCAGGCCAGUCUCCACAACUCCUGAUCUAUUGGGGUUCUAACCGAGCAUCUGGGGUCCCAGACAGGUUCCGUGGCAGUGGGUCAGGCACAGAUUUCACACUGACCAUCAGCAGGGUGGAGCGUGAGGACUUGGGGGUUUAUUACUGCAUGCAUGCUAUAGAAUUUCCUCCCACAGUGAUACACCCUGAAACAAAAACCUUCCUUCUUGGCUUGGCCCAGCUGUCCUAA